GCACCCGCACAAGCGGUGGAGCAUGCUGUUUAAUUCGAAGAUACGCGAAAAACCUUACCUAGGCUUGACAUCCCCGGCAAAGCUAUAGAGAUAUAGUGGAGGCUAUCCGGGUGACAGGUGGUGCAUGGUUGUCGUCAGCUCGUGUCGUGAGAUGUUCGGUUAAGUCCGAUAACGAGCGCAACCCUUGUCGUUAGUUGCUAACAUUUAGUUGAGAACUCUAACGAUACUGCCGGUGACAAACCGGAGGAAGGUGGGGAUGACGUCAAAUCAUCAUGCCCCUUACGUCUAGGGCUACAGGCGUGCUACAAUGGCCGAAACAAUGAGAAGCAAAGCUGUGAAGCGGAGCAAAUCUCUAAAAUCGGUCUCAGUUCGGAUUGAAGUCUGCAACUCGACUUCAUGAAGUUGGAAUCGCUAGUAAUCGUGGAUCAGAAUUGCCACGGUGAAUACGUUCCCGGGUGUU
This 460-nucleotide ribosomal RNA is filed under the name uncultured bacterium. RNAcentral describes it as "bacterial SSU rRNA". It matches the Rfam family "Bacterial small subunit ribosomal RNA", at positions 917 to 1382 of the family's 1533-position model. The record is from RNAcentral.